Molecule: ribosomal RNA, 465 nt
Filed under: uncultured bacterium
Lineage: Bacteria
Description: partial 16S ribosomal RNA
Rfam family: Bacterial small subunit ribosomal RNA
Source: RNAcentral
GACGAACGCUGGCGGCGUGCUUAACACAUGCAAGUCGAACGGAAAGGCCCUGCUUGCAGGGUCCUCGAGUGGCGAACGGGUGAGUAACACGUGGGUGAUCUGCCCUGCACUUCGGGAUAAGCUUGGGAAACUGGGUCUAAUACCGGAUAGGAGCCAUCUUUAGUGUGGUGGUUGGAAAGUUUUUUCGGUGUAGGAUGAGCUCGCGGCCUAUCAGCUUGUUGGUGGGGUAAUGGCCUACCAAGGCGGCGACGGGUAGCCGGCCUGAGAGGGUGUACGGCCACAUUGGGACUGAGAUACGGCCCAGACUCCUACGGGAGGCAGCAGUGGGGAAUAUUGCACAAUGGGCGCAAGCCUGAUGCAGCGACGCCGCGUGGGGGAUGAAGGCCUUCGGGUUGUAAACUCCUUUCGCUAGGGACGAAGCUUUUUGUGACGGUACCUAGAUAAGAAGCACCGGCUAACUACGUG